Molecule: ribosomal RNA, 1343 nt
Filed under: metagenome
Description: bacterial SSU rRNA
Rfam family: Bacterial small subunit ribosomal RNA
Source: RNAcentral
GCAGGCUUAACACAUGCAAGUCGAGGGGUAACGAUGGUGCUUGCACCAGGCGACGACCGGCGCACGGGUGAGUAACGCGUAUGCAACCUACCUCUAACUGGGGCAUAGCUCUCGGAAACGGGAAUUAAUAUCCCAUAAUAUCAUAAAUUCGCAUGUUUUUAUGAUUAAAGCUCCGGCGGUUAGAGAUGGGCAUGCGUGCCAUUAGCUUGUUGGUGAGGUAACAGCUCACCAAGGCUACGAUGGCUAGGGGGUCUGAGAGGAUGGUCCCCCACACUGGUACUGAGACACGGACCAGACUCCUACGGGAGGCAGCAGUGAGGAAUAUUGGUCAAUGGACGCAAGUCUGAACCAGCCAUGCCGCGUGCAGGAUGAAUGCCCUAUGGGUUGUAAACUGCUUUUAUACAGGAAGAAACUUCCGAUCGUGAUCGGGACUGACGGUACUGUACGAAGCAUCGGCUAACUCCGUGCCAGCAGCCGCGGUAAUACGGAGGAUGCAAGCGUUAUCCGGAUUUAUUGGGUUUAAAGGGUGCGUAGGCGGAUGAAUAAGUCAGUGGUGAAAUCCUGCAGCUUAACUGUAGAAUUGCCAUUGAUACUGUUUUUCUUGAGUAUAGUUGAGGUGGGCGGAAUGUGUAAUGUAGCGGUGAAAUGCUCAGAUAUUACACAGAACUCCAAUCGCGUAGGCAGCUCACUAAGCUAUUACUGACGCUGAGGCACGAAAGCGUGGGGAGCGAACAGGAUUAGAUACCCUGGUAGUCCACGCUGUAAACGAUGAUCACUCGUUGUUGGCGAUACACAGUCAGUGACCAAGCGAAAGCAUUAAGUGAUCCACCUGGGGAGUACGGUCGCAAGAUUGAAACUCAAAGGAAUUGACGGGGGCCCGCACAAGCGGAGGAACAUGUGGUUUAAUUCGAUGAUACGCGAGGAACCUUACCUGGGCUUAAAUGCAGAACGACAGAUUGGGAAACUGAUCUUUCUUCGGACGGACUGCAAGGUGCUGCAUGGUUGUCGUCAGCUCGUGCCGUGAGGUGUCGGGUUAAGUCCCAUAACGAGCGCAACCCUUAUCGUUAGUUACCAGCGAGUAAUGUCGGGAACUCUAACGAAACUGCCGGUGUAGACCGUGAGGAAGGUGGGGAUGACGUCAAAUCAGCACGGCCCUUAUGUCCAGGGCUACACACGUGUUACAAUGGUCAGUACAAAGGGCAGCUACCUGGUGACAGGAUGCUAAUCUCGAAAACUGGUCUCAGUUCGGAUCGAAGUCUGCAACUCGACUUCGUGAAGCUGGAUUCGCUAGUAAUCGCGCAUCAGCCAUGGCGCGGUGAAUACGUUCCCGGGCCUUGUACACG